AUGGCCCGUCAGGCCAUGAAGGGCUGGGGGGCGAACCUUGGUGCUGAUCUUCGGGCCCGUAAAGGGGCCCUGCUAGAUCAGAUUAAGGUGCUAGAUGGCGUUGUGGAUGGGCCGGGCAUGUCUCCUGACGACUGGAUUAGGAGAUACUCCCUCGAGGCCUCGCUCAUGGACAUUUACAAGAGCGAGGAGCUAUUUUGGUAG
Molecule: ribosomal RNA, 201 nt
Filed under: Triticum aestivum (bread wheat)
Lineage: Eukaryota; Viridiplantae; Streptophyta; Magnoliopsida; Poales; Poaceae
Description: partial small subunit ribosomal RNA
Source: RNAcentral